This 202-nucleotide long non-coding RNA is filed under the name Phoenix dactylifera (date palm). RNAcentral describes it as "long non-coding RNA (PDAC_LNC003766)". Lineage: Eukaryota; Viridiplantae; Streptophyta; Magnoliopsida; Arecales; Arecaceae. The record is from RNAcentral.
UGAAAUCAUUUAAUAUAUUGCUUAAUGUUUGAAUUCAAAUUCAAACAACAAACAAUGUCGCCAUGUGUCAAGCAAUGGCUCCAUGCGCCAUGCAAAAAUUUUGGUUUAUUUAAAAUUCAUGAAAUCCAAUUCCAUGUCCCCACUAAUUGCCACAUCAUCUGAGCCUAAUCCCCUUGGGUUGCACCUAAUCAAAUUUGGUCAA